Molecule: ribosomal RNA, 486 nt
Filed under: uncultured bacterium
Lineage: Bacteria
Description: bacterial SSU rRNA
Rfam family: Bacterial small subunit ribosomal RNA
Source: RNAcentral
AUUGAACGCUGGCGGCAUGCCUUACACAUGCAAGUCGAACGGCAGCACGGGAGCAAUCCUGGUGGCGAGUGGCGAACGGGUGAGUAAUAUAUCGGAACGUGCCCAGUCGUGGGGGAUGACGCAGCGAAAGCUGUGCUAAUACCGCAUACGAUCUCUGGACGAAAGCGGGGGACUCGCAAGAGCCUCGCGCGAUUGGAGCGGCCGAUAUCAGAUUAGCUAGUUGGUGGGGUAAAAGCCCACCAAGGCGACGAUCUGUAGCUGGUCUGAGAGGACGACCAGCCACACUGGAACUGAGACACGGUCCAGACUCCUACGGGAGGCAGCAGUGGGGAAUUUUGGACAAUGGGCGAAAGCCUGAUCCAGCAAUGCCGCGUGCAGGAUGAAGGCCUUAGGGUUGUAAACUGCUUUUGUACGGAACGAAACGGUCUCUCUUAAUACGGGGGGCUAAUGACGGUACCGUAAGAAUAAGCACCGGCUAACUACGUG